CAUCUGUCCCAGAAGCGUUUCCAUGUUCGCAUCUGUCCCAAAGGCUUCUGCCAGGGGCAUGAUGUGCCCGGAGAGUUUAUAAUGCUUGUAGCUGCAGGACGCUCACUCCCCCCAGAGUCCGCUCUAGGCGGGUAGAUUAGCAGCUCACAAGGCAGGGCACCUGGUGCUAUUGGGGGCCGCCUGCCCAACUGGGGACAGCAGCAGAUGGGAACCGCAGACCCCGGGCUGUUGGAUGCGUAUCCAUGUCUGUACACUUGGAUGAUGGUUUCUAUUCUGUCUAUCUGGUGGCACAGAAUAUGUUUGUGGUCACAAGGCACAGUGAUGGUGAGCAGCAUGCCUGGGAGUCUGUUACUGGUGAAUCCUUCAAGUUGUGCUGACCAUGUGAGCCCAUUGGACAGAAUACUAAAGUGAGCCUUCUCCUAAAAGAAGACCUGAGAGAAUGCAGAGAGGAGAGGAGGGUCAAGGAAGCUGUGAAGAAACACUCACCUUUCAUUAAGUUCUCCCACCACCCUCUAUACUUUAUCUGUAGCAUGGUUGAUUUCAAGGACAUCUCUGACAACUUGAGAAUUGCUCCAGCAGAGCAAGAUCCUGAAAAUCAUCACCAAAAUCAUUGUGAAGAAGAGCCUUGUGCUACCUUCUGAAUUGGCAGAAGACAAAGAGAAGUAAAAGAAGUUCAGUGAAGUGAUCCCCAAGAAUUUAAGGUCCAUGAUAUGUUCUCAGGAUCAUGAUCACCUAAACAGCACUCAUUUCAUGGAGUAGGACUUAAAUCAGAUAUUGGUUGGUUCCUCCCAGAAGCUUUGUUAUCUUGAAGAAAGGACACCACUGUAGAUGGAAGAGUUUGUAGCUGGGAUGCUGUUUGCCUUUCUCCUUUUGUAGUGCACAGAGGACCUUCCAGUACAAAGAACACUAGAAGCAAGAGGCUAUCGAUUUGUUCCAGAUUAAGAUGGAUCAGAUUUGAUCAAGCCAGACCUCCUGAACCAUAACAGAUGGUACCUAUCAACUAAGGUUACAACCGGUCUUCCCAGGAUUUGAACAUAAUCUCUGCUGUGGGAUGUUCUGUAUGCUGUGAAUGUGUUGCUCUGAUUGGUUAAUAAAUAAAGUGUUGAUUGGCCAGUAGCCAGGCAGGAAGUAUAGGUGGGACAAAGAGAGGAGGAUUCUGGGAAGUGGAAGGCUGUAGCUGGAGAGCUUCUCUCCAGGUCCUACCAAGCCCUGGCAGUCCAACAGCCCACUUAUAAAAUAAACACACAGACGCUUAUAUUAUUUACAAUCUGUAUGGGGUGGCAGGCUUCUUGCUAACUGUUCUUAUAUCUUAAAUUAAUCCAUUUCCAUAAAUCUAUACCUUGCCACAUGGCUCGUGGCUUACCAGCAUCUUCACAUGCUGCUUGUCAUGGUGGCAGCUGGCAGUGUCUCUCCCACUCAGCCUUCCACUUCCCAGAAUUCUCCUCUCUCCUUGUCCUCCCUAUACUUCCUGCCUGGCCACUGAUCAAUCAAUGUUUUAUUUAUACAGAACGAUAUCCACCGCACUUUCUCUUUUCUUUUUUUUCAAAAAGGAAGGUUUUAACCUUAACAUAGUAAAAUUAUAUAUUAUUUGGGAAUUUGAGCGUAGCUUCUCUUACUAGUUCCUGCUGGAGGGGGGCGCUGUAUCUUAUGGGGACACAAAGAAAAUUUUAGGAUUAUGGAGUAGUCCAUGAGGUUGUAUCGUCUGAGCCAGUUGUCUUCAAACCGUUUUGGAUGUUGGAUCAUCUGGGCCAUGGUAUCAUCGGAGACCUUUCAGGGGGUCUUGGCUGGUCAAACCUGAUCUAUCUUAAUCUGGAAUAAAUCCAUAGCCUCUGGCUUUCUGUGGAAACAGAAGCAGAGCCUCCUUUCCAAAGCAACGUAUCCUUACAUCCAAAUUUUGAAGUCAAGGUACCUUAAAAUAUUUUGGCAUAACUCAACAGCUUUUGCAAUCAAAUGUUUUUCUUCAGUUACAAAUAUCAAAGAGAACAUAAUCCAGAUUCUCUGUGUGGUAGCCAUCUUUACGUGGCUUAUUUUUUAUAUUACCUUGAACCUAUUGCUUUAAACUGAAGCAUUCUAAGACUGAAACGGUGCUGUGGCUGCUGGCUCUGCCCACUUCAGCUUCCCACUUCAGCUUCCCAACAUGGCGGUGGUACGUUUUCCGCCAGCUCUGGGAGCCAUCGUGGGUCUGUGCUUUUAUCAAAGCAGCAUGUAGCCCAGAAACCUCUUUUUUUGUUUUGUACUAGCAAAGGCUAAAUCCACCACACAGCUUAAUGUGCCACUUGCAGAGGCCCAGCUUAAUGUGCCAUUUGCAGAGGCCUCAUUCCCGCCAUACUGCAGGUCAAGCACGCAUGCCAGGAACCCACCAUAGUAGAUAGUAGGUCAAACACACAGGCUGCCACUAACUUGAGAGAGACAACUAGGAACUGUUUUUAGCUCCGUUUUAGAAUCUUUUUUCUCAGGUUUUAGGUGGAAACUCUUGCCAACACGUUGGGCGCCAUUUGUAGCUGGAGAGCUUCUCUCCAGGUCCUACCAAGCCACGGCAGUCCGACAGCCCACUUAUAAAGUAAACACACAGAUGCUUAUAUUAUUUACAAACUGUAUGGCCGUGGCAGGCUUCUUGCUAACUGUUCUUAUAUCUUAAAUUAAUCCAUUUCCAUAAAUCUAUAACUUGCCACAUGGCUCGUGGCUUACCAGCAUCUUCACAUCUUGUCAUGGUGGCAGCUGGCAGUGUCUCUCCCACUCAGCCUUCUACUUCCCAGAAUUCUCCUCUCUCCUUGUCCCGCCUAUACUUCCUGCCUGGCCACUGGCCAAUCAGUAUUUUAUUUAUACAGAACGAUAUCCACAGCAGAAGGCUGAGUCAGGAGACACUGCCACCGCUGCCAUGACAAGCAGCAUGUAAAGAAACCAGUAAGCCAUGAGCCACGUGGCAAAGUAUAGAUUAAUAGAAAUGGGUUAAUUUAAGAUAUAAGAACUAGAUAGCAAGAAGCCUGCCAUGGCCAUACAGUUUAUAAGUAAUAUAAGUCUCUGUGUGUUUACUUGGCUGCGGGACUGGCGGGUGAGAGAGAUUUGUCCUGACUGUGGGCCAGGCAGGACAAGGAAAUCUUCAGCUACAAAUCUUGAAUUUUUUCAGGAUCCCCAUUAGACUACCAGCACCCACAGUCAGCAGGAAGUAGCCUAGAAAACUAUGCCCACAUUCCCAAAAACUGGAUUAUGAAUAUUUGUCUUUGUUUAGAGAUUGUUUACAAAUUGGUUAUAGUCAUAGUCAAUAUCUUUCUAAAAGAAAAAAGGGGGAUAGGAUAUAGAUAUGAUAGGAUGAAAGAAUAGAUUAUUGAAUCUACUUUUAAAGAGCAACAACUUGUUUAAAAAUGUUUUACAUUGCUAUGGAUUUUAGUUUAUUGAUAUAAAUUUAAAGUUAAUUUUGCUAGACUAUGAAUAUUUCUACUCUUGUUUAAGGUAUUAUGUUUGUGCAGCUCAUUUAAAAUUGUAAUGUAUCAUUAAGAAAUAUAGAUUAAUAAUUAAUCAUCUAUGAUAAUCAAACUCAUUGUCAUGUUAGUUAAGUUUUCUAGGUAUACAUAGAUAUAUGCUUACUUAAGGAAUAUAUCCUUCUGAAGUCUUUGACACAGUUGAAGACUAGAUAGUUAUAAUUAUAGUUUUCCUUAGUUAUGAUAAAAGAUAAAUUAAAUAUGAAACUUUAGACUCACAAAUAUAGAAUAGAUGAUAGAAUAUUUUCUUUAGUUUUGCAAAAUACAAAUAGACUAUAUAUUGUAACUGUAAUUCUUGCUUGAUAACUGUUUUAUUUAUUUAUUUAUUUAUUUAUUUAUUUAUUUUGGUUUUCUCAAGACAAGGUUUCUCUGUGUAGUUUUGGUGCCUGUCCUGGAUGUCAUUCUGUAGACCAGGCUGGCCUCGAAAUCACAGAGAUCCACCUGACUCUGCCUCCUGAGUGCUGGGAUUAAAGGCAUGCGCCACCACUGCCCAGCAAUAACUGUUCUAUUAUAUAUAAUUUUACUAUGUUAAAGUUAAAUCCUUCCUUUUUGAUUAGAUAGAAAGGGAAGUGCAGUGGGAUGACUUUCUGUACACUGUGAAUGUGUGUUGCGCUGAUUGGUUGAUAAAUAAAGCUGCAUUGGCCUAUGGCAGGGCAGGAUGGAGCCAGGCAGGAAAAUACAAGGGAGAUAAUGAAAGAAGAAAGGCAGAGGCAGAGGAGAUGCAAUUCCGCCAUCCAGGGAGCAGCAUGUAAUGGCACACAGGUAAAGCCACAGAACAUGUGGCAAUAUAUAGAUUAAUAGAAAUGGACUGAGUUCAGUUAUAAGAGCUAGCUAGCAAGAAAAUUGAGCCAUAGGCCAUGGACAUGCAAUUCCUAAUUGAUAUAAGCCUCUGUGUGUUUACUUGGGUCUGAGCAGCUGCAGAGCCAGGUGGGACACAGGAAAACUUCAGCUACAACCUAGACUCUCUAGGUCUGUGGAUUGUGGCAUAGUUAUCUUUUAUUUUAUGGCUUAUAUCCACUUAGGAGUAAGUACAGACCUUGUUUGUCUCUCUUGGUUUGGAUUACCUCACUGAGCAUGACUUUCUAUUUCCAUUCUUUUGCCUUCCAAUUUCCUGAUGUCCUUAUUUUUAACUCUUCUGUGUAAAUGUACCACAACUUCUUUAUCCAUUCAUUGGUUGAGGGGCAUUUAUAUUGUUUCCAAGUUCUGGCUAUUACAAAUAAAGCUGCUAUAAAUAUA
Long non-coding RNA from Peromyscus californicus insignis, 4715 nucleotides. RefSeq lists it as uncharacterized. The transcript has 6 exons. The record is from RefSeq and is a predicted model, not a curated record. NCBI's taxonomy places the organism in Eukaryota, Metazoa, Chordata, Mammalia, Rodentia, Cricetidae.